AGAGUUUGAUCAUGGCUCAGGAUGAACGCUGGCGGCGUGCCUAAUACAUGCAAGUCGAACGAGGUGCUUGAGUAGCAAUACAAGAGUAUCCUAGUGGCGAACGGGUGAGUAACGCGUUGGUGACCUACCCAAGUGUGGGAUAACAGUUCGAAAGAACUGCUAAUACCGCAUGUGGUUAUUGGAUUUAGAAACUGAUAACUAAAGGAGCAAUUCGCGUUUGGGAGGGACCUGCGUCCCAUCAGCUAGUUGGUGAGGUAAUGGCUCACCAAGGCUACGACGGGUAGGGGACCUGAGGAGGGUGACCCCCCACAAUGGAACUGAAACACGGUCCAUACACCUACGGGUGGCAGCAGUAGGGAAUAUUGCACAAUGGGCGAAAGCCUGAUGCAGCAACGCCGCGUGUGCGAUGAAGGCCUUCAGGUCGUAAAGCACUUUUCUGAGAGAUGAGCAAGGACAGUAUCUCAGGAAUAAGUCUCGGCUAACUACGUG
This 489-nucleotide ribosomal RNA is filed under the name uncultured bacterium. Its description in RNAcentral is "bacterial SSU rRNA". It matches the Rfam family "Bacterial small subunit ribosomal RNA", at positions 8 to 507 of the family's 1533-position model. The record is from RNAcentral.